This 516-nucleotide ribosomal RNA is filed under the name uncultured bacterium. Its description in RNAcentral is "bacterial SSU rRNA". It matches the Rfam family "Bacterial small subunit ribosomal RNA", at positions 32 to 518 of the family's 1533-position model. The record is from RNAcentral.
AACGCUGGCGGCGUGCCUAAUACAUGCAAGGUCGAACGGUCUUUCUAUGGAAGCUUGCUUCCACUGAGAAGAUAGUGGCGAACGGGUGAGUAACACGUGGGGUAACCUGCCCAUAAGAGGGGGGAUAACAUCCGGAAACGGGUGCUAAUACCGCAUAGUUUUCUUGAUCGCAUGAUCGGGAAAGGAAAGACGGCCUUUGUGCUGUCGCUUAUGGAUGGACCCGCGGCGUAUUAGUUAGUUGGUGAGGUAACGGCUCACCAAGACGAUGAUACGUAGCCGACCUGAGAGGGUGAUCGGCCACAUUGGGACUGAGACGCGGCCCAAACUCCUACGGGAGGCAGCAGUAGGGAAUCUUCCGCAAUGGACGAAAGUCUGACGGAGCAACGCCGCGUGAGUGAAGAAAGGUUUUCGGAUCGUAAAACUCUGUUGUCAGAGAAGAACAAGUUGGAGAGUAACUGCUCCAGCCUUGACGGUAUCUGACCAGAAAGCCACGGCUAACUACGUGCCAGCCGCCGC